CUUGGUAAGAGAGGAAGGUGAGAGAGACAUAAUCAAGGGAGAGAAACUCACAUUCAUCACCAUCUUUUCCAUUUUCGUAACUCUUGAUACAUCUCCACUAAAUCAGCUUCUGUUUUGAAGGAGAAAAGCAAGCUUGAAGUUGGGACAUGCAUGCUGAUUGUGUGUUAAAGAGUGGUUACGGGUUUGAUCAUGUUAGAGGUGAAGAGUUGAUCAAGGAGGAAGCCUAAUGGCUGCAUAAUCAUCAUCUCAACCUUCUUUUUAGCAAGGUGCAGUUUAGUAGCGUUUGGUCAGUAGCAGGUUUGGACUGAAGACUUAGAAGUGGUGAUGGCUCGGAGACCUCGUCAGAUCUCUUUUUCCGCUGUGCAGAUCCAUUGAAGACACAUGUUUUGUUAUUCCUAGUAGAAUUUUAUGUUGUACUCAAUAGGGAUCUCUCUGUAUAACUAUAGCUUUUGUAUGUACUCAAUAUCAAUUUUUAACAUUUCAUGCAUAAUAUACUAGUCAUUUAUGUGUGGGGUGUUACAUUAAAAGAC
Molecule: long non-coding RNA, 530 nt
Organism: Vicia villosa (hairy vetch)
Lineage: Eukaryota; Viridiplantae; Streptophyta; Magnoliopsida; Fabales; Fabaceae
Exons: 3
Source: RefSeq, a predicted model, not a curated record